Cavia porcellus (domestic guinea pig) is the source of this 1564-nucleotide long non-coding RNA. RefSeq lists it as uncharacterized. Lineage: Eukaryota; Metazoa; Chordata; Mammalia; Rodentia; Caviidae. The record is from RefSeq and is a predicted model, not a curated record. The transcript has 3 exons.
UUUUCAGACAGGGCAUCACUGUGAAGUUCAGGCUGGCCUCAAACUCACAGCGAUCCUCCUGCCUCAGUCUCUUGAGUGCUGGGAUUACAGAUGUCCUCCAAGAGCUUCAUUCACUCAUGGGCAAGGCUUUAGCAAGAGGACUGGAUCGUGGCGACGCUGCAGCUGAUUCGCUGUUAGGAGGAGCAGCUUUCCUCUGCCCAGAGCCUUUUGCCAUGACAUUUCUGUGUUGAAGCUGCCAGACAUGGAUUGGAACCUCUGAACUCUGAACCGACCAUAGAGCUCUCUCCACCUUUAAGUUUCAGGUGUUGGGUAUUUUGUGCAGCCAAUGAGGAAAGUGACUAAGACACUAUCAAACAGAGGCUUCCCUGGAGGCGACCCCAUUACUUUGUUUUCUUCAUAGCACGCACAGCAGGCUCUAAAUACCUUGUUUGUUUACUUCUGUACUUGUUUGUUAUCAUACAGUCCAUGAGGGCAAGGAGACCUUGUCGCAGGCUCCCCUGUUGUAUCCCCAUUGCUGAAAGUAGCAUCAUACCCAUAGCAGGUCCUCAACAAAUCCCUGUUCACUGUAAUGAAUGAGAGGGGGACUCGAACAGGGAGGAUCUUACCAGCUCUGAUUCGUGGGGACAUAUUCAGGGAUUUUAAUCAAAGACACAGUGAUUAGAUCUGGCCAUUCUAAAAGGUUGGUUUGGAGCUGGGCUAGGGCUGAGGCUGGGGCUACCACUCAGCUGUACAGUGAUUGCCUGCCAUUUCAGAGCCCAUGGGCUCAAUCCUGAGCAAUGCAACAGCACAACAAUGACAAAAGGAUCAACCUGCUGGUGGUGAGAAAAAACAGAUUGGAAGGGCACUCAGGAAAACUAUUGCAGUGGUCUGGGAGAAUGAUAAUACAAUUAAAUUAAUAACAUGUGCAAAGCCCGUGGCACUUCAUUAUAUGGAAUAGAGGAGGAAGUGUAGCAAGCAAGCAAGAAAUAAGGGUCUGAGAGACAGAAGGGUUUUGUAUCCCGAGACCCUUUGAGCUGCCUAUCUUGUCUUCCUGUGACAAAUACCAGAAUUCCUUAUGCUUUUCAGGUUGGUUUUUUAUGUUAAUAGUUUAUCUUGAGUUAACUAUUCAUUACUCUUCCCCUAUCAUCGGGUGUUGGGAGCUGCGGCCGAGCCCGGUCGCCUUACUUGGCGGACAUGAGGCCUGUAGGAAGGAGCAAAGCCUGAGCUAGAUUACCCCUCCCAUCGAGUGUGCUAAGAUGGCGCUUAUCUCCUGCUUCCUGCUUGGUAAACAACCCGCUCUGUAAGAUAGUCUGCCUAGCAACAACUGAUGUUAGCCAAUCAGCCCGCAUCGCGCGCUUUGAACUGAUUGGCCACUGUAACCCUAUAAAAGUGAGUGCCUCUCCCGCCACGAGAGAAGAAGCACGGAAGGAGCCACGGAGAGCGGACCGGUAGAGGCUUCGGGACAGACUGUAGAGAAGAAGCACGGAAGGAGCCGCGGGGAGCGGACCGGUAGAGGCUUCGGCCGGGAAGAAUCCCGGGGCAGACUGUACGGAGAGGGAAAAUAAAGAAAGCCCAGCCACUGCCA